UCGGGGCGGGGGGGGGCGCUACUCAAUAUUAUUUUUUAUGUGCGGGGGCGGGGGGGGACCGAAUCUAAUUUUUGUUAGUUCCUUGAACCGCAUGGUUCAAGGAUGAAAGACGGUUUCGGCUGUCACUUACAGAUGGACCCGCGGCGCAUUAGCUAGUUGGGAGGUAACGGCUCACCAAGGCGACGAUGCGUAGCCGACCUGAGAGGGUGAUCGGCCACACUGGGACUGAGACACGGCCCAGACUCCUACGGGAGGCAGCAGUAGGGAAUCUUCCGCAAUGGACGAAAGUCUGACGGAGCAACGCCGCGGUGAGUGAUGAAGGUUUUCGGACGUAAAGCUCUGUUGUUAGGGAAGAACAAGUGCAAGAGUAACUGCUUGCACCCUUGACGGUACCUAACCCAGAAAGCCACGGCUAACUACGUGCCAGCAGCCGCGGUAAUACGUAGGUGGCAACCGUUGUCCGGAAUUAUUGGGCGUAAAGCGCCCGCGGCGGUUUCGUAUAAGUCUGAAUGUGAAAGCCCCCCGGCUCAACCGGGGAGGGUCAUUGGAAACUGGGAAACUUGGAGUGCAGAAAGAGGAGAGUGGAAUUUCCACGUGUAGCGGUGAAAUGCGUAGAGAUGUGGAGGAACACCAGUGGCGAAGGCGACUCUCUGGGUCUGUAACUGACGCUGAAGGAGCGAAAGCGUGGGGAGCGAACAGGAUUAGAUACCCCUGGUAGUCCACGCCGUAAACGAUGAGUGCUAAGUGUUAGGGGGGUUUCCGCCCCUUAGUGGCUGCAGCUAACGCAUUAAGCACUCCGCCUGGGGGAGUUACGGGUCGCAAGACUGAAACUCAAAGGGAAUUGACGGGGGCCCCGGCACAAAGCCGGGUGGAAGCAUUGUGGGUUUAAUUUCGAAGCAACGCGAAGAACCUUUACCAGGGUCUUGGACAUCCUCUGAACAACCCCUAGAGAUUAGGACUUUUCCCUUCGGGGACAGAGUGAACAGGUGGUGCAUGGUGUCGUACAGCUCGGUUCGAUGUAGAAAUGGUUGUGAG
This 1035-nucleotide ribosomal RNA is filed under the name Bacillus pumilus. Its description in RNAcentral is "bacterial SSU rRNA". It matches the Rfam family "Bacterial small subunit ribosomal RNA", at positions 93 to 1084 of the family's 1533-position model. The record is from RNAcentral. Lineage: Bacteria; Bacillati; Bacillota; Bacilli; Caryophanales; Bacillaceae.